RNAcentral lists this long non-coding RNA (776 nucleotides) under Arabidopsis lyrata. Its description in RNAcentral is "long non-coding RNA (ALYR_LNC000398)". The record is from RNAcentral. Lineage: Eukaryota; Viridiplantae; Streptophyta; Magnoliopsida; Brassicales; Brassicaceae.
CUAAUCAGAAAUCCAGAUCUGCUCCAUACCAAUCAUCCAAGGUCCAAAUCCAAUUUUCUUCUUCUUCUUCUUCUUCUUCUUCUUGGGAACACGACUUCAUCACCGCUCUAAGUAACAAUGGCCUUUACGCCGUCGUCUCUCCUCCCAAAAAUCUUUGUGGUUAUAAGAAGCCUAAUCUUCUUCUAAAACCAUCUUCUUCGACGCAUCGUCGCCUUCAGGUCAUAACUUCUUACGACAAUGGAGUUCUGGGGUAAACAUCUCCUAUUUCCCACACAGAUCUAAAAGCAAGGUUGGUCUUUAGUUUCUCUUACUUUCGGUAAAACUCUGCGGAUGAAAUCUUACUCUCAUAGGUCUCGUCAGCAACAGAGUUUACUGAUAAAGAAUCAGAAAAGCAUGACGAAUCUGAUGAUGGAGAACAGGAGAAGCAACAAGGGCUAAAGCAAGAACGUGAGAGUUUGGAGAAGAAAAGAUGAAGAAGGGUUGAGAGGAAGAACAAGCAGAAUUAGUUGACGAUUUGAGUGUAGUAAAACAAAGAAAUCAGAGUUAUCCUUGCUCGAGUAUGAUUAUGUUCCCAAGCUGGUUGUAUUCGUGGAUUCGAAUCUGCCAUGUCUAGCACGCCAAGUGUUCGACGAUAUUCCACACUUGAAUGUUGUCUCUGCUACAUCGGAAAUAUAAACGGUAAUGUAUAUGUCCUUUGCUUCGAGACAGAACAUGAGUAAUGAUGAUGGUUGGUUUAGUUUCUAGGUCUGGAAUUGAGAAGUUAGAAUGAAAUUGGU